AAGGAAGUCACAAGAACAGCGAAAGAGACCAGCGGACUUUCUUAUCAAAGCGUUUGGAUUCAACUGUGAAAAUGGCAGCCCACUCGGGCCCCCUCUCCGCCACAGAGAGCUUUUUUCUUUCACUUAUUAAACUUUCGCUGCAACUUCUCCCUGUGUCCACGCGCCUUAAUUUUCUGGGUUGUGAGACGAUGGACAACGAGCUCGGAUAACACCUUAGACAACGUGACCAGCAACCCUAGACCGUGUCGAUCCUACGUAUCAAAACUUGGGAGACUAAAACGGGGGUUAGAGGAAAAAUACAGCCUUGAAUACAAGAAAAAACCCAGAAAAACCUUGAUUUAAGCUUUGAUUUCAAGAAGCUGGACAACAACAUAAAUCAUAUCUAAGGACAGCAAAAGGCAGGUACGUCCCGGCCUGGCCUGCAUGGGGCGGGGGCCGCGGAAGAACCCUGCGCCCUCCACACGGGACUUGACGUCUGCUCUGCCCUGGCCCCUCCUCGCUGGAGCACCAUCAGCAGCAUUCAUGGAUGAGGACGCAGCUCACAGGAGGCCCUGCCGACCCUCGCUUCUGGUCCACACCCACCCGCUACCUGAGCAGGCCAAUGGAGGCUGGUUGCAUGCAGAGCCUCGAUUCCAUCAAUUCACUCGAGGCACGGGUGACUGGUGUUGGAGCCAGACUUGGGAUAGAAGCAGGAGCACCUACCGAGGGGCCCGCCUCCCAGUAGCAGGUAGGGUGCACAGGGUCAGCUUGCAUGGCCAGCAGGUGCAGGGCCCUCCCGGCCAGGCCCAGGAGCCGGGCGCGGAUCUCCACACAGCCCACGCUCAGCGGCUGCAGGCUCCCCAGCUGUGCCAGUGCCCCGUGUGCUAGAGUCCGCUUCAGCGUGAACCAUUGCUUCGAAAAGACAGACAUGUUACAGCUGCCACCCCAAGGGCAACCGCCCACCCUGCCCAGGGGACCCAGUGAGCCCGCCCUCUGCUGUGCCCUGUGGGUGGGAACACUGGGGAGCUCUGAGAAAGCCUUGCCCCGCAGGGAGGGUCUCCAGGGCUCUGGUGUGGGGGUCACAGACGUCUGCUCAUAGAACCUUAAUUCAGAGCUCACUGACAAAUCAGUUUUAGGCCCGUCUUUGGUCCAUUUAUACUUAUGUAAAUUAAUUUGAGUCAUGUUUCAUGAAGUCUCAGAAAACUCAAAAUGGAAGAAUGUAUAUUUCCCUCAAAACAUUCUACAUAUUCAACUUUUUUUUUUACCAAAAUGGAGUCCACCUCUAUUGAGCUCUUUAAUCCACAUAUGCAUUAAUUAUUAAUACGAAUUAAUUAGAGCAAAUUCAUGAGUCGGGAAGGGCAGCUGUGGGUCAUAUAGGAAACACCCCUGCAAUGGGACCUCGAUUUCAUGAGCCAAUUCAGUCUCCUCAAAUGGUGAGACAAUGCCCGGGAGCUCCCCCUGCUGCAAGAGGUCCCCAGCUGACCCGCACCGCCAGGUGCACAGUGGUGGAGACGGCUCCUGCUGGAACGGGGGUCCCAUCAGCUGCACUGUGGCCUGGCGCUCCCUCCACCGGGAAUCUGUGACCCCAGCAAUUACCAGGCCGACGGAAGUGUAGUCACUGGUGUUCUGCAGAUAGUCCGCCAGCAGCUUCUCCAGGGACCCCUGCUCACUCUGCUGCCCGUGGGCCUCCUCCCAGAUGAACUGGAGCAUGUCCAGAGCCAUUUCCACGAGGCCGAGCUUGAGGCGCGCCAGCUUCCUCAUCAGGGGCGUGUUGACGUUCUGCAACUGAGGGGGUCAGGCAUGCCUCUGAAGCAUGGAAGCUUCUGGUAAGCCUGAAUCUACAUCCCCACAACUUGGAUGAGGCAUAACCGACGUAAGAAACUCAUAACAAACUGCGCAGAUCUACAGUGGAAAACUGACACACUUUGAUCACGAAUACACCCGUGAAACCAUCACCACCUUCGAGAUAAUGCAGUAGCCCUUAUCCCCAAAUCUCUUCGCGUCCCCUCAUGUUCCCUCCCGGUCACCUAGCUGCCUGCCGGCACCCUGCAUUCCUUGGCAUUUUCCAGAACCGUACCUAAGUGGAGGCGCACAGAGUGCUGUCUUUCCGUCUGGUUCAUUUUCCUCGUUCUGGGGCUACUACCAAUAAAGCUGCUGCCAACAUUCAUGUGCAAGGUAUCCACAGAUCCUGAUCCACAGACGUGGUAUGUUCCUCCAUUUACUUAGGAAUUCUCAGAUCCUGAUCCACAGACGUGGUAUGUUCCUCCAUUUACUUAGGAAUUCUCAGAUCCUGAUCCACAGACGUGGUAUGUUCCUCCAUUUACUUAGGAAUUCUCAGAUCCUGAUCCACAGACCUGGUAUGUUCCUCCAUUUACUUAGACAUUCUCAGAUCCUGAUCCACAGACGUGGUAUGUUCCUCCAUUUACUUAAGAAUUCUCAGAUCCUGAUCCACAGACGUGGUAUGUUCCUCCAUUUACUUAGGAAUUCUCAGAUCCUGAUCCACAGACGUGGUAUGUUCCUCCAUUUACUUAAGAAUUCUCAGAUCCUGAUCCACAGACGUGGUAUGUUCCUCCAUUUACUUAGGAAUUCUCAGAUCCCAAUCCACAGACGUGGUAUGUUCCUCCAUUUACUUAGACAUUCUCAGAUCCUGAUCCACAGACGUGGUAUGUUCCUCCAUUUACUUAGGAAUUCUCAGAUCCUGAUCCACAGACGUGGUAUGUUCCUCCAUUUACUUAAGAAUUCUCAGAUCCUGAUCCACAGACGUGGUAUGUUCCUCCAUUUACUUAGGAAUUCUCAGAUCCUGAUCCACAGACGUGGUAUGUUCCUCCAUUUACUUAGGAAUUCUCAGAUCCUGAUCCACAGACGUGGUAUGUUUCUGCAUUUAGACAUUCUCAGAUCCUGACCCACAGACGUGGUAUGUUUCUCUAUUUACUUAGCUAUUCUCAGAUCCUGAUCCACAGACGCGGUCUGUUUCUCCAUUUACUUAGACAUUCUCAGAUCCUGAUCCACACACAUGGUAUGUUUCUCCAGUUACUUAGGCAUUCUCAAAUUCUGAUCCACAGACAUGAUGCAUUUCUCCAUUUACCUAGGUAUUCUCAAAUUUUUCUCAGUUAUCUUUUGUAGUUCUCAGAGUACAAGUUCUCACAUUUUUGGGACAGAUUUCAUUUUUAAAUGCUGUCAUAAAAUUGUUUCAAAAUUUUUAAUGUCUGAUUAUUUCUAGCAUGUAGAAAUAUACAACUGAUAUCUGCAUAUUGUUCUUAUAUCCUGCAACCUUACAAAACUCAGCAUUAGUAGCUUUAUUUUUUGGUGGAUUGCAUAGGACUGUGUAUGCAGACAACUAUGUUAUCUGUGAAUAAAAACAGUUUCAUUCCUUCCUUUCCAA
This is an RNA transcript of Homo sapiens (human), 3361 nucleotides long. RefSeq lists it as uncharacterized. The transcript is spliced from 3 exons. The record is from RefSeq and is a predicted model, not a curated record. Lineage: Eukaryota; Metazoa; Chordata; Mammalia; Primates; Hominidae.